UCAUAUGCUUGUCUCAAAGAUUAAGCCAUGCAUGUCUCAGUGCAAGCCGUCCACUAUAUUUACCUUAUAGUACACGGUGAAACCGCGAAAGGCUCAUUAAAUCAGUUAUGGUUCCUUAGAUCGUGCACACGUUACUUGGAUAACUGUGGUAAUUCUAGAGCUAAUACAUGCCGACAGAGUUCCGACUAGUGCCGGGCACGCGCACACACAUGUACACGUGCGUGCGGCUCAACCCGCCGCCUUGGUAUCGUGUGCUGUGUGCGUGUCCGGAGUACGGAAGGAACG
This 285-nucleotide ribosomal RNA is filed under the name Apiomorpha rosaeformis. Its description in RNAcentral is "partial small subunit ribosomal RNA". It matches the Rfam family "Eukaryotic small subunit ribosomal RNA", at positions 24 to 203 of the family's 1831-position model. Lineage: Eukaryota; Metazoa; Arthropoda; Insecta; Hemiptera; Eriococcidae. The record is from RNAcentral.